UGGAUCCAGACUUUGAUCAUGGCUCAGGAUGAACGCUAGCUACAGGCUUAACACAUGCAAGUCGAGGGGCAGCAUGGUCUUAGCUUGCUAAGACUGAUGGCGACCGGCGCACGGGUGAGUAACACGUAUCCAACCUGCCGUCUACUCUUGGACAGCCUUCUGAAAGGAAGAUUAAUACAAGAUGGCAUCAUGAGUCCACAUGUUCACAUGAUUAAAGGUAUUCCGGUAGACGAUGGGGAUGCGUUCCAUUAGAUAGUAGGCGGGGUAACGGCCCACCUAGUCUUCGAUGGAUAGGGGUUCUGAGAGGAAGGUCCCCCACAUUGGAACUGAGACACGGUCCAAACUCCUAUGGGAGGCAGCAGUGAGGAAUAUUGGUCAAUGGGCGAGAGCCUGAACCAGCCAAGUAGCGUGAAGGAUGACUGCCCUAUGGGUUGUAAACUUCUUUUAUAAAGGAAUAAAGUCGGGUAUGCAUACCCGUUUGCAUGUACUUUAUGAAUAAGGAUCGGCUAACUCCGUGCCAGCAGCCGCGGUAAUACGGAGGAUCCGAGCGUUAUCCGGAUUUAUUGGGUUUAAAGGGAGCGUAGAUGGAUGUUUAAGUCAGUUGUGAAAGUUUGCGGCUCAACCGUAAAAUUGCAGUUGAUACUGGAUAUCUUGGGUGCAGUUGAGGCAGGCGGAAUUCGUGGUGUAGCGGUGAAAUGCUUAGAUAUCACGAAGAACUCCGAUUGCGAAGGCAGCCUGCUAAGCUGCAACUGACAUUGAGGCUCGAAAGUGUGGGUAUCAAACAGGAUUAGAUACCCUGGUAGUCCACACGGUAAACGAUGAAUACUCGCUGUUUGCGAUAUACAGCAAGCGGCCAAGCGAAAGCGUUAAGUAUUCCACCUGGGGAGUACGCCGGCAACGGUGCAACUCAAAUGAAUUGACGGA
RNAcentral lists this ribosomal RNA (924 nucleotides) under uncultured organism. RNAcentral's name for it is "bacterial SSU rRNA". It matches the Rfam family "Bacterial small subunit ribosomal RNA", at positions 1 to 917 of the family's 1533-position model. The record is from RNAcentral.